GGUAAAAGCCACAUCGUCAAUGCCUGAUCUCGUCAAGUCUCUGAAGCUAAACAGGACUGAGCCUGGUUAAUACUUGGAUGGGAGACCACUGGGAAUUACAGGUGCCA
This 107-nucleotide ribosomal RNA is filed under the name Periophthalmus magnuspinnatus. Lineage: Eukaryota; Metazoa; Chordata; Actinopteri; Gobiiformes; Gobiidae. The record is from RNAcentral.